GACGAACGCUGGCGGCGUGCCUAAUACAUGCAAGUUGAGCGCUGAAGGUUGGUACUUGUACCGACUGGAUGAGCAGCGAACGGGUGAGUAACGCGUGGGGAAUCUGCCUUUGAGCGGGGGACAACAUUUGGAAACGAAUGCUAAUACCGCAUAAAAACUUUAAACACAAGUUUUAAGUUUGAAAGAUGCAAUUGCAUCACUCAAAGAUGAUCCCGCGUUGUAUUAGCUAGUUGGUGAGGUAAAGGCUCACCAAGGCGAUGAUACAUAGCCGACCUGAGAGGGUGAUCGGCCACAUUGGGACUGAGACACGGCCCAGACUCCUACGGGAGGCAGCAGUAGGGAAUCUUCGGCAAUGGACGAAAGUCUGACCGAGCAACGCCGCGUGAGUGAAGAAGGUUUUCGGAUCGUAAAACUCUGUUGGUAGAGAAGAACGUUGGUGAGAGUGGAAAGCUCAUCAAGUGACGGUAACUACCCAGAAAGGGACGGCUAACUACGU
RNAcentral lists this ribosomal RNA (496 nucleotides) under uncultured bacterium. RNAcentral's name for it is "partial 16S ribosomal RNA". It matches the Rfam family "Bacterial small subunit ribosomal RNA", at positions 28 to 506 of the family's 1533-position model. The record is from RNAcentral.